RNAcentral lists this ribozyme (66 nucleotides) under Aedes aegypti (yellow fever mosquito). Its description in RNAcentral is "drz-agam-1 ribozyme". It matches the Rfam family "drz-agam-1 ribozyme". The record is from Rfam by way of RNAcentral. Lineage: Eukaryota; Metazoa; Arthropoda; Insecta; Diptera; Culicidae.
UGCCCAGCAACUCCUAUCCCUGCCUCCUCGUGGUACUGGCCGGGGUGCGAGAAACCUUGGGGAAGA